Molecule: microRNA precursor, 191 nt
Filed under: Oryza glumipatula
Lineage: Eukaryota; Viridiplantae; Streptophyta; Magnoliopsida; Poales; Poaceae
Description: MIR812 microRNA precursor family
Rfam family: MIR812 microRNA precursor family
Source: Rfam by way of RNAcentral
AAAAAGACAAACCCUGGAUUUCCGUGUCCAACUUUAACUGUCCGUUUUAUAUGAAAUUUUUUUAUAAUUCGUAUUUUCAUUGUUGUUAGAUGAUAAAAACAUGAUUAAUAUUUUAUGUGUGACUUAUCUUUUUAAUUUUUUUUAUAAUUUUUUUAAAUAAGAUGGACGGUCAAAUGUUGGACACGGAAACC